RNAcentral lists this unclassified non-coding RNA (299 nucleotides) under Hevea brasiliensis (rubber tree). The record is from RNAcentral. Lineage: Eukaryota; Viridiplantae; Streptophyta; Magnoliopsida; Malpighiales; Euphorbiaceae.
CAGCAGCAGCAGCAGCAGAAGAAGCAGGAGAGAGAGAGAUGGAUAAUUGAAGUAAAUGAGAUUGUCACCAAGGAAGAAAGGGUUGAGGCCGCUGUUGAGGUAUUUUCUUUCAGCUUUUAAAAUGAAAUGGUCACUAUCUACAAAGCAAUUAGUAGAUGUGGAUGUGUUGGGUUGGAACAUUUCUGUAUUCUAACCAUAUCAAUAUCAUGUACCUAAUGGACUUAGGUUAUUAUUAUAGUUUUGUGAAAUAAUUCACUGUGUACCCUCUUAUAUAUCCUAAAGAUAUUUUUAAAUUUAUG